This 221-nucleotide ribosomal RNA is filed under the name uncultured bacterium. Its description in RNAcentral is "partial 16S ribosomal RNA". It matches the Rfam family "Bacterial small subunit ribosomal RNA", at positions 326 to 539 of the family's 1533-position model. The record is from RNAcentral.
ACGCUCGACACCUACGGGGCAGCAGUAGGGAAUCUUCCACAAUGGGCGCAAGCCUGAUGGAGCAACACCGCGUGAGUGAAGAAGGGUUUCGGCUCGUAAAGCUCUGUUGUUGGAGAAGAACGUGCGUGAGAGUAACUGUUCACGCAGUGACGGUACCUGACUAAGAAGCACCGGCUAAAUACGUGUCAGCAGCCGCGGUAAUCUGAGCGGGCUGGCAAGGC